GGCAGGUGGAUCUCUGGGUUAAAGGUCAGCCCAGUCUAUGUCCUAAGUUCUAGUCCAGCCAAAGUCUGCAUAGUGAGAUGCUGGAGUCAGAGAAGCAAAGCAAAACAAAACAAACCCAUUUCCCAUUGUGAGCAUCUAUUACAUUAUGAAAUUUUUCUUUUUCUCCAGAAAUUCCUCUGCCAAACUGUACCUUUCCCUUCAUCUAUAAUGAGGUAAUCUACCACAGCUGCAUCUCUGUCCACAGUGUCUUUGAUUGGUGCUCCCUUGAUUUUUAUUUCCAAGGAAGGUGGAGAUACUGCAAAGCAUUUGGUGAGAGUCCUAUAAAAGUGUAUAAUAGAUAUCCAUGGCCCAAGAGGCAGUGCGUAGAAUCUGGAGAAAAUGUUUUAGAUUUCAGAAAGCAGUCUUUCCUACAUUAAAAACAAAAUCAAAGGAAAAAAACCUGAAUUUUUUUCUCAUCAGGGAUUAAUUUGUGGACAGUGGUUCAUAGUUCACCCCUUAGCCAUCUUUCUCUGCAGAUCCACCAAUGUGUGUCUUCCCUUUCCAAUUUGGAAAAAAGUCCAUUACUGAAUGCACCAAGGAAGGCCACAUUUUGAAUCGGAGUUGGUGUUCAUUGACCAACAACUACAAGAAAGAUAGAAAGUGGAAGCAAUGUUCUCCUUACAAGUAAGAUGAUGGGAGAGGCGGGUCAGCAUCCCAUAAGCUAUGAAAGGAGCAAAGCACUAGGUUGACGGAUGAGGAGCCGAGAUCUAGAUCUCCUGGCUGUGACCUAGUCAGGUGGCAGCAGACAUUGCCUGUGAGGUGCCUCCUGUUGAGUACAUCAGGCUUCUCAGGCUAUGUGAUACUGGCCAAAGAUAUUCAGCUUGGCUUUGUAGCACAAACACAGCCACGCACAGAGCAAGACUUUAUUGGAUCACUGGCAAAUCUGACAUGCUGGUGUCAUGUCAUUAUGUCUAAUGAUUAUAAUCCCGAGUGUAUAAGUUCCUUUUGUCAUUGCUGCGGCAGAACACACAAGGAAAACAACUCAACGAAGGAGGGAAAGGUUCCUUUGGACUGCUGGUUUGAGGGAACACAGUCCAUUGUGGUAUGGAUGGAAGGCUUUGUGGUGAGGCAUGAAUCUGCUGAUCACAUUGUGUCUACAUUCAGGAGAGAUAGACAGAAAGACAGUCAGCCAGCCAGCCAGACAGAUAGAGGCUUGUACUUAGUUGGAUUACUCUCCCCUCCCCCCGUUACAGUGACUGAGGCCUAAAUCCAAGAGCUGUUGCUGCCCACAUUCAGAUUUCAGAUAAUCUGUGUGUUUUUGAAGAGACAGAAGUUGCAGAUUCAUUAGCUGCAUCUCCAAAGACAAUUCUCUGUCAUUAAGGAGUAUUAUGAUAAUAAAUGUCUAUGCUCUUA
This 1392-nucleotide long non-coding RNA is filed under the name Cricetulus griseus (Chinese hamster). RNAcentral's name for it is "lncRNA (ENSCGRG00015040039.1)". Lineage: Eukaryota; Metazoa; Chordata; Mammalia; Rodentia; Cricetidae. The record is from RNAcentral.